AUACGUAGGUGGCAAGCGUUAUCCGGAUUUAUUGGGCGUAAAGCGAGCGCAGGCGGUUUUUUUAAGUCUGAUGUGAAAGCCUUCGGCUUAACCGAGGAAGCGCAUCGGAAACUGGGAAACUUGAGUGCAGAAGAGGACAGUGGAACUCCAUGUGUAGCGGUGGAAUGCGUAGAUAUAUGGAAGAACACCAGUGGCGAAGGCGGCUGUCUAGUCUGUAACUGACGCUGAGGCUCGAAAGCAUGGGGUAGC
RNAcentral lists this ribosomal RNA (249 nucleotides) under uncultured bacterium. Its description in RNAcentral is "partial 16S ribosomal RNA". It matches the Rfam family "Bacterial small subunit ribosomal RNA", at positions 523 to 769 of the family's 1533-position model. The record is from RNAcentral.